GACGAACGCUGGCGGCGUGCUUAACACAUGCAAGUCGAACGGAAAGGCCCUGCUUUUGUGGGGUGCUCGAGUGGCGAACGGGUGAGUAACACGUGAGUAACCUGCCCUUGACUUUGGGAUAUCUUCAGGAAACUGGGGCUAAUACCGGAUAUGAGCUCCUGCUGCAUGGUGGGGGUUGGUAAGUUUCGGCGGUUGGGGAUGGACUCGCGGCUUAUCCGCUUGUUGGUGGGGUAGUGGCUUACCAAGGUUUUGACGGGUAGCCGGCCUGGGAGGUGGACCGGCCACAUGGGGACUGAGAUACGGCCCAGACUCCUACGGGAGGCAGCAGUGGAGAAUAUUGCAGAAUGGGCGGAAGCCUGAUGCAGCAACGCCGCGUGCGGGAUGACGGGCUUCGGGUUGUAAACCGCUGUCGCCUGUGACGAAGCGUGAGUGACGGUAAUGGGUAAAGAAGCACCGGCUAACUACGUG
This 468-nucleotide ribosomal RNA is filed under the name uncultured bacterium. RNAcentral describes it as "partial 16S ribosomal RNA". It matches the Rfam family "Bacterial small subunit ribosomal RNA", at positions 28 to 507 of the family's 1533-position model. The record is from RNAcentral.